UAGGGAAUCUUCCGCAAUGGACGAAAGUCUGACGGAGCAACGCCGCGUGAGUGAAGAAGGAUUUCGGUUCGUAAAACUCUGUUGUUAGGGAAGAAAAAAUGUAUAGUAACUAUAUACAAAAGAGACGGUACCUAACCAGAAAGCCACGGCUAACUACGUGCCAGCAGCCGCGGUAAUACGUAGGUGGCAAGCGUUGUCCGGAAUUAUUGGGCGUAAAGCGCGCGCAGGUGGUUUAGAAAGUCUGAUGUGAAAGCCCACGGCUCAACCGUGGAGGGUCAUUGGAAACUAAUAAACUUGAGUGCAGGAGAGAAAAGUGGAAUUCCUAGUGUAGCGGUAAAAUGCGUAGAUAUUAGGAGGAACACCGGUGGCGAAGGCGGCUAUCUGGACAGUAACUGACGCUGAGGCGCGAAAGCGUGGGGAGCAAACAGG
Molecule: ribosomal RNA, 429 nt
Filed under: Verrucomicrobiota bacterium
Lineage: Bacteria; Pseudomonadati; Verrucomicrobiota
Description: Verrucomicrobia bacterium partial 16S ribosomal RNA
Rfam family: Bacterial small subunit ribosomal RNA
Source: RNAcentral